CGACGGUGAGUAACACGUAUGCAAUCCACCUGUAACAGGGGGAGUAACCCGGAGAAAUCCGACUAAUACCCAUAAUAUGGGCGCUCCGCAUGGAGAGUCCAUUAAAGAGAGCAAUCUUGGUUACAGACGAGCAUGCGCUCCAUUAGCCAGUUGGCGGGGUAACGGCCCACCAAGCGACGAUGGAUAGGGGUUCUGAGAGGAAGGUCCCCCACAUUGGAACUGAGACACGGUCCAA
Molecule: ribosomal RNA, 235 nt
Filed under: uncultured bacterium
Lineage: Bacteria
Description: partial 16S ribosomal RNA
Rfam family: Bacterial small subunit ribosomal RNA
Source: RNAcentral